This 306-nucleotide unclassified non-coding RNA is filed under the name plant metagenome. Its description in RNAcentral is "partial contains 5.8S ribosomal RNA, internal transcribed spacer 2, and large subunit ribosomal RNA". The stretch from base 1 to 105 matches the Rfam family "5.8S ribosomal RNA", at positions 50 to 154 of the family's 154-position model. The record is from RNAcentral.
GAAAUGCGAUAAGUAAUGUGAAUUGCAGAAUUCAGUGAAUCAUCGAAUCUUUGAACGCACAUUGCGCCCGCCAGUAUUCUGGCGGGCAUGCCUGUCCGAGCGUCAUUUCAACCAUCAAGCCCCCGGGCUUGUGUUGGGGACCUGCGGCUGCCCGCAGGCCCUGAAGACCAGUGGCGGGCUCGCUGUCACACCGAGCGUAGUAGCAAUCACCUCGCUCAGGGCGUGCUGCGGGUUCCGGCCGUUAAACAGCCUUACAAAACCCAAGGUUGACCUCGGAUCAGGUAGGAAGACCCGCUGAACUUAAGC